GGACUGUGGCUCACUGGUAGAGCGCUUGCCUAGCAUGCAUGAGGCACUGGGUUCGACCCUCAGCAUCA
RNAcentral lists this transfer RNA (68 nucleotides) under Marmota monax (woodchuck). RNAcentral describes it as "tRNA.Ala". The stretch from base 5 to 65 matches the Rfam family "tRNA", at positions 6 to 65 of the family's 71-position model. Rfam says of the family: Transfer RNA (tRNA) molecules are approximately 80 nucleotides in length. Their secondary structure includes four short double-helical elements and three loops (D, anti-codon, and T loops). Further hydrogen bonds mediate the characteristic L-shaped molecular structure. tRNAs have two regions of fundamental functional importance: the anti-codon, which is responsible for specific mRNA codon recognition, and the 3' end, to which the tRNAs corresponding amino acid is attached (by aminoacyl-tRNA synthetases). tRNAs cope with the degeneracy of the genetic code in two manners: having more than one tRNA (with a specific anti-codon) for a particular amino acid; and 'wobble' base-pairing, i.e. permitting non-standard base-pairing at the 3rd anti-codon position. The record is from RNAcentral. Lineage: Eukaryota; Metazoa; Chordata; Mammalia; Rodentia; Sciuridae.